UACUGUCUCAUUUAAUUUGAUAUUAAAAUUUACUUUUUCAGUCAAAAAGCUGAAAUAUUAUUGGAAGACGAGAAGACCCUAUAGAGCUUUAUAUUUAAUUAUCUAAUAAAUUUUUGAAAAUAUUAUUGUUUAUUAUUUAAUAAAAUAUUUUGUUGGGGUGACAAAAAUAAUAAUUAACUUUUUUAUUUAUAUAACAUUGAUAUAUGAAAAAUAGAUCCAGUUUUACUGAUUACUAGAAUAAGUUACCUUAGGGAUAACAGCGUAAUCUUCCUUUAGAGUUCAUAUUCACAGGGAGGCUUGCGACCUCGAUGUUGGAUUAAGAUUAUAAUUAGGUGUAGCCGCUUAAAAAAUAGGUCUGUUCGACCUUUAAAUUCUUACAUGAUCUGAG
RNAcentral lists this ribosomal RNA (388 nucleotides) under Taeniogaster obliqua. RNAcentral describes it as "partial 16S ribosomal RNA". It matches the Rfam family "Bacterial large subunit ribosomal RNA", at positions 2048 to 2609 of the family's 2925-position model. The record is from RNAcentral. Lineage: Eukaryota; Metazoa; Arthropoda; Insecta; Odonata; Cordulegastridae.